This 2938-nucleotide ribosomal RNA is filed under the name Priestia megaterium. RNAcentral's name for it is "Bacillus megaterium 23S ribosomal RNA". It matches the Rfam family "Bacterial large subunit ribosomal RNA". The record is from RNAcentral. Lineage: Bacteria; Bacillati; Bacillota; Bacilli; Caryophanales; Bacillaceae.
AUGGUUAAGUUAGAAAGGGCGCACGGUGAAUGCCUUGGCACUAGGAGCCGAUGAAGGACGGGACUAACACCGAUAUGCUUCGGGGAGCUGUAAGUGAGCUUUGAUCCGGAGAUUUCCGAAUGGGGAAACCCACUGUUCGUAAUAGAACAGUAUCUUUAUCUGAAUACAUAGGAUAUUGAAGGCAGACCCGGGGAACUGAAACAUCUAAGUACCCGGAGGAAGAGAAAGCAAAUGCGAUUUCCUGAGUAGCGGCGAGCGAAACGGAAUUAGCCCAAACCAAGAGGCUUGCCUCUUGGGGUUGUAGGACACUCUAUACGGAGUUACAAAGGAACGAAGUAAAUGAAGCGACCUGGAAAGGUCCGUCGAAGAAGGUAACAACCCUGUAGUUGAAACUUCGUUCCCUCUUGAGUGGAUCCUGAGUACGGCGGAACACGUGAAAUUCCGUCGGAAGCUGGGAGGACCAUCUCCCAAGGCUAAAUACUACCUAGUGACCGAUAGUGAACCAGUACCGUGAGGGAAAGGUGAAAAGCACCCCGGAAGGGGAGUGAAAGAGAUCCUGAAACCGUGUGCCUACAAGUAGUCAGAGCCCGUUAACGGGUGAUGGCGUGCCUUUUGUAGAAUGAACCGGCGAGUUACGAUCCCAUGCAAGGUUAAGCUGAUAAGGCGGAGCCGUAGCGAAAGCGAGUCUGAAUAGGGCGUUUAGUAUGUGGUUGUAGACCCGAAACCAGGUGAUCUACCCAUGUCCAGGGUGAAGUUCAGGUAACACUGAAUGGAGGCCCGAACCCACGCACGUUGAAAAGUGCGGGGAUGAGGUGUGGGUAGCGGAGAAAUUCCAAUCGAACCUGGAGAUAGCUGGUUCUCUCCGAAAUAGCUUUAGGGCUAGCCUCAUGUUGUGAGAGUCUUGGAGGUAGAGCACUGAUUGGACUAGGGGCCCCCAACGGGUUACCGAAUUCAGUCAAACUCCGAAUGCCAAAGACUUAUCCAUGGGAGUCAGACUGCGAGUGAUAAGAUCCGUAGUCAAAAGGGAAACAGCCCAGACCACCAGCUAAGGUCCCCAAGUAUACGUUAAGUGGAAAAGGAUGUGGAGUUGCUUAGACAACCAGGAUGUUGGCUUAGAAGCAGCCACCAUUUAAAGAGUGCGUAAUAGCUCACUGGUCGAGUGAAUCUGCGCCGAAAAUGUACCGGGGCUAAACGUAUCACCGAAGCUGUGGAUUGACAUCUUUGAUGUCAGUGGUAGGAGAGCGUUCUAAGUGCUGUGAAGUCAGACCGUAAGGACUGGUGGAGCGCUUAGAAGUGAGAAUGCCGGUAUGAGUAGCGAAAGACAAGUGAGAAUCUUGUCCACCGAAUGCCUAAGGUUUCCUGAGGAAGGCUCGUCCGCUCAGGGUUAGUCGGGACCUAAGCCGAGGCUGAAAAGCGUAGGCGAUGGCCAACAGGUUGAUAUUCCUGUACCACCUCCCCGCCGUUUGAGUAAUGGGGGACGCAGUAGGAUAGGGUAAGCGCGCUGCUGGAUAUGCGCGUUCAAGCAGUUAGGCUGAUGAGUAGGCAAAUCCGCUCAUCAUAAAGGCUGAGCUGUGAUGACGAGGGAAUUAUAGUACCGAAGUUCCUGAUUCCACACUGCCAAGAAAAGCCUCUAGCGAGGCGGGAGGUGCCCGUACCGCAAACCGACACAGGUAGGCGAGGAGAGAAUCCUAAGGUGAUCGAGAGAACUCUCGUUAAGGAACUCGGCAAAAUGACCCCGUAACUUCGGGAGAAGGGGUGCUCUGGUAGGGUGUAUAGCCCGAGAGAGCCGCAGUGAAUAGGCCCAGGCGACUGUUUAGCAAAAACACAGGUCUCUGCGAAGCCGCAAGGCGAAGUAUAGGGGCUGACGCCUGCCCGGUGCUGGAAGGUUAAGAGGAGGGGUUAUCCUUUGGGAGAAGCUCUGAAUCGAAGCCCCAGUAAACGGCGGCCGUAACUAUAACGGUCCUAAGGUAGCGAAAUUCCUUGUCGGGUAAGUUCCGACCCGCACGAAAGGCGUAACGAUCUGGGCACUGUCUCAACGAGAGACUCGGUGAAAUUAUAGUACCUGUGAAGAUGCAGGUUACCCGCGACAGGACGGAAAGACCCCGUGGAGCUUUACUGUAGCCUGAUAUUGAAUUUUGGUACAGCUUGUACAGGAUAGGUAGGAGCCUGAGAAGCCGGAGCGCUAGCUUCGGUGGAGGCGUCGGUGGGAUACUACCCUGGCUGUAUUGAAAUUCUAACCCGCGGCCCUGAUCGGGCCGGGAGACAGUGUCAGGUGGGCAGUUUGACUGGGGCGGUCGCCUCCUAAAAUGUAACGGAGGCGCCCAAAGGUUCCCUCAGAAUGGUUGGAAAUCAUUCGUAGAGUGUAAAGGCACAAGGGAGCUUGACUGCGAGACCUACAAGUCGAGCAGGGACGAAAGUCGGGCUUAGUGAUCCGGUGGUUCCGCAUGGAAGGGCCAUCGCUCAACGGAUAAAAGCUACCCCGGGGAUAACAGGCUUAUCUCCCCCAAGAGUCCACAUCGACGGGGAGGUUUGGCACCUCGAUGUCGGCUCAUCGCAUCCUGGGGCUGUAGUCGGUCCCAAGGGUUGGGCUGUUCGCCCAUUAAAGCGGUACGCGAGCUGGGUUCAGAACGUCGUGAGACAGUUCGGUCCCUAUCCGUCGUGGGCGUAGGAAAUUUGAGAGGAGCUGUCCUUAGUACGAGAGGACCGGGAUGGACACACCGCUGGUGUACCAGUUGUCUUGCCAAAGGCAUCGCUGGUAGCUAUGUGUGGACGGGAUAAGUGCUGAAAGCAUCUAAGCAUGAAGCCCCCCUCAAGAUGAGAUUUCCCAUAGCGCAAGCUAGUAAGAUCCCUGAAAGAUGAUCAGGUUGAUAGGUCAGAGGUGGAAGCGUGGCGACAUGUGUAGCUGACUGAUACUAAUCGAUCGAGGACUUAACCAAAA